GACGAACGCUGGCGGCGUGCUUAACACAUGCAAGUCGAACGGAAAGGCCCUGCUUUUGUGGGGUGCUCGAGUGGCGAACGGGUGAGUAACACGUGAGUAACCUGCCCUUGACUUUGGGAUAACUUCAGGAAACUGGGGCUAAUACCGGAUAGGAGCUCCUGCUGCAUGGUGGGGGUUGGAAGGUUUCGGCGGUUGGGGAUGGACUCGCGGCUUAUCAGCUUGUUGGUGGGGUAGUGGCUUACCAAGGCUUUGACGGGUAGCGGGCCUGAGAGGGUGACCGGCCACAUUGGGACUGAGAUACGGCCCAGACUCCUACGGGAGGCAGCAGUGGGGAAUAUUGCACAAUGGGCGGAAGCCUGAUGCAGCAACGCCGCGUGCGGGAUGACGGCCUUCGGGUUGUAAACCGCUUUCGCCUGUGACGAAGCGUGAGUGACGGUAAUGGGUAAAGAAGCACCGGCUAACUACGUG
RNAcentral lists this ribosomal RNA (468 nucleotides) under uncultured bacterium. RNAcentral describes it as "partial 16S ribosomal RNA". It matches the Rfam family "Bacterial small subunit ribosomal RNA", at positions 28 to 507 of the family's 1533-position model. The record is from RNAcentral.